AUUCCAGCUCCAAUAGCGUAUAUUAGAGUUGUUGCAGUUAAAAAGCUCGUAGUCGAAUUUCAGGGCGGCGGGCACGGUCUGCCGAUGGGUAUGCACUGUGUCGGCCGCCUUUCCUGCUGGGGUCCGCGUCUGCACUUAACUGUGCGGGCGCGGGGAACAGCGCGUUUACUUUGAGAAAAUCAGAGUGUUUAAAGCAGGCCAAGAUUGCUCUUGCAUGGAUUAGCAUGGGAUAAUGAAAUAGGACUUUGGUGCUAUUUUGUUGGUUUCGAGUACCGAAGUAAUGAUUAAUAGGGAUAGUCAGGGGCACUUGUAUUCCGUUGAGAGAGGUGAAAUUCUUAGACCAAUGGAAGACAAACUACUGCGAAAGCAUUUGCCAGGGAUGUUUUCAUUA
Molecule: ribosomal RNA, 391 nt
Filed under: Haptophyta sp.
Lineage: Eukaryota; Haptophyta
Description: partial small subunit ribosomal RNA
Rfam family: Eukaryotic small subunit ribosomal RNA
Source: RNAcentral